AGGAAUAUUGGUCAAUGGACGCAAGUCUGAACCAGCCAUGCCGCGUGCAGGAAGACGGCUCUAUGAGUUGUAAACUGCUUUUGUACGAGAGUAAACGCUCUUACGUGUAAGAGCCUGAAAGUAUCGUACGAAUAAGGAUCGGCUAACUCCGUGCCAGCAGCCGCGGUAAUACGGAGGAUCCAAGCGUUAUCCGGAUUUAUUGGGUUUAAAGGGUGCGUAGGCGGUUUGAUAAGUUAGAGGUGAAAUACCGGUGCUUAACACCGGAACUGCCUCUAAUACUGUUGAACUAGAGAGUAGUUGCGGUAGGCGGAAUGUAUGGUGUAGCGGUGAAAUGCUUAGAGAUCAUACAGAACACCGAUUGCGAAGGCAGCUUACCAAACUAUAUCUGACGUUGAGGCACGAAAGCGUGGGGAGCAAACAGGAUUAGAUACCCUGGUAGUCCACGCAGUAAACGAUGAUAACUCGCUGUCGGCGAUACACAGUCGGCGGCUAAGCGAAAGCGAUAAGUUAUCCACCUGGGGAGUACGUUCGCAAGAAUGAAACUCAAAGGAAUUGACGGGGGCCCGCACAAGCGGAGGAACAUGUGGUUUAAUUCGAUGAUACGCGAGGAACCUUACCCGGGCUUGAAAGUUACUGACGAUUCUGGAAACAGGAUUUCCCUUCGGGGCAGGAAACUAGGUGCUGCAUGGUUGUCGUCAGCUCGUGCCGUGAGGUGUCGGGUUAAGUCCCAUAACGAGCGCAACCCCUACCGUUAGUUGCCAUCAGGUCAAGCUGGGCACUCUGGCGGGACUGCCGGUGUAAGCCGAGAGGAAGGUGGGGAUGACGUCAAAUCAGCACGGCCCUUACGUCCGGGGCUACACACGUGUUACAAUGGUAGGUACAGAGGGCAGCUACCCAGUGAUGGGAUGCGAAUCUCGAAAGCCUAUCUCAGUUCGGAUCGGAGGCUGAAACCCGCCUCCGUGAAGUUGGAUUCGCUAGUAAUCGCGCAUCAGCCAUGGCGCGGUGAAUACGUUCCCG
Molecule: ribosomal RNA, 1017 nt
Filed under: uncultured bacterium
Lineage: Bacteria
Description: bacterial SSU rRNA
Rfam family: Bacterial small subunit ribosomal RNA
Source: RNAcentral